UACGGGGGGGGCAAGCGUUGUUCGGAAUUACUGGGCGUAAAGCGCGUGUAGGCGGCUUUUCAAGUCGGACGUGAAAGCCCCAGGCUUAACCUGGGAAUUGCGCUCGAUACUGUUGAGCUAGAGUGUGGAAGAGGCUACUGGAAUUCCGUGUGUAGCGGUGAAAUGCGUAGAUAUACGGAGGAACACCAGCGGCGAAGGCGGGUAGCUGGGCCGACACUGACGCUGAGACGCGAAAGCUAGGGGAGCAAACGGG
RNAcentral lists this ribosomal RNA (253 nucleotides) under uncultured bacterium. Its description in RNAcentral is "partial 16S ribosomal RNA". It matches the Rfam family "Bacterial small subunit ribosomal RNA", at positions 524 to 776 of the family's 1533-position model. The record is from RNAcentral.